ACUCUUGUAACUGCAAGUGGCGACACUCGUCUUCCACCCCUACCCUCUUCCUAAUUGCUUCGCCCUUCCUCUCGCCAGCCUCUGGGGGAACCUUCAGCAACCGCUCUCCACUCAGUUCUGGCUACUCUCCGGAGGAGACCCGGGAGCCUAGAUCCCAAGGGCAGAAAGGCCCCCUGCUACGUGGAGGCUAAUUGUUGCCUAAGGAAAGAACACCCCAGUUUUUGCCAGUUGGUUUGUGAUUCUGAAGACACAGUGGCAGCUACCUGCAGCCUGGGACCUGGGGCCAGGGCCAGGGCCACUUCCUAACGAGUGAACGAAGCCUACAUCUUAUCCUUGAUGGACCUUGAGCCAGGCUAGCUUCUAC
Molecule: long non-coding RNA, 364 nt
Filed under: Monodelphis domestica (gray short-tailed opossum)
Lineage: Eukaryota; Metazoa; Chordata; Mammalia; Didelphimorphia; Didelphidae
Description: lncRNA (ENSMODG00000035879.2)
Source: RNAcentral